RNAcentral lists this ribosomal RNA (253 nucleotides) under uncultured bacterium. Its description in RNAcentral is "partial 16S ribosomal RNA". It matches the Rfam family "Bacterial small subunit ribosomal RNA", at positions 524 to 776 of the family's 1533-position model. The record is from RNAcentral.
UACGUAGGGAGCAAGCGUUGUCCGGAAUUAUUGGGCGUAAAGAGCGCGUAGGCGGCUCGUUAAGUCCGCCGUGAAAGUCCAGGGCUCAACCCUGGAAUGCCGGUGGAAACUGUCGGGCUAGAGUCCGGAAGAGGAGAGUGGAAUUCCUGGUGUAGCGGUGAAAUGCGCAGAUAUCAGGAGGAACACCGAUGGCGAAGGCAGCUCGCUGGGACGGUACUGACGCUGAGACGCGAAAGCGUGGGGAGCGAACAGG